Gallus gallus (chicken) is the source of this 3153-nucleotide long non-coding RNA. RefSeq lists it as uncharacterized. Lineage: Eukaryota; Metazoa; Chordata; Aves; Galliformes; Phasianidae. The transcript has 2 exons. The record is from RefSeq and is a predicted model, not a curated record.
AAUGGAAUUUCCUCAGGUGUAAGUUGAACAAGUCUGUAAAUGGGCAGCCGUAUGGCCCAAGAAGCAGAGUCUUUUUAAGGAGUAAAACAAAAUCAGUAAUUGUUGUGAUAUUCAAGUGGACUGGAAAAAUGCCUUGUAAAAAUGUCAUGUAUCAAGAGGCAGUGCGAAAAAACCACGGUCACAAAUAACUUACAGACAAAUAGUGGCAGAGUGGCUACAUUUCACAGCAUUUAACUAUGAGUUGCAUGUCCGGUGUCAGUUUGCAAGCACCUCUGAAGGCAGUAUUUGGAGCUUCAUGAUUUAUCUUUGUUAAGUUACAUGUAGGAGUCACAGAGUGAAGAAGUCACAUGAGUUUGUGGUGGUACCGGGGAUCUCUAGUGAAAACUGCUGAGACUUCUAAGUCAAGUUCAAAGAAAAGAGUCAAACAAAGGGAACAAGCAUGUUUGAUCAGGAAUGAUGGUUUCUAUCUGAAUUAAGACAUUAUCCCAGUAGUUGUAAGAGGUGGUCAGUGUCUUUCCUUGGCUGCUCAGGUAGAGCAUCAGAAACACUGAGCCUGAGCAGCACUGGAGCUGUCGACUGAUACCACCUGUGCCAGAGAAUGAGGAGGCAAGUAAGAUGCAGAACAGUGCCUUAGAAUCAUUCAUUUUCCCAAAUAGGAACAUUUUUAACAUAUCCUUUUCCAUUUCAAGGGGUAUAGAGUUUUUAGAUAGAUUUCUAAGAACAUAUUUGCUUUCUGAACUUUGCCAUCAGCCCUGCUCUACAUGGGGACAGGGCAGAAAUACAAGUAAAUGUGGCAGGAGUAAGAGGAGGUGAAGACUAUGAUGCUACAGCCCUACAGAAACACCCUCUGCUUACGUGACUGGCUAUGUAUGCUUCAGAGAAGGUUGGUGGCCAUUGACUUAGCUGGCUUGGACAAGUAUCAAGACAGUAAAUACUGAGAAAAAAAUACAUUUUCCUCUGGCUUCUUUGAAAAAAUCACUCCGUGUUACAGAACACUCAAUGCUGGACUCUGUGCUUUACUCUCCAGCAUAUUUACAGUUUUGGCUCCUAACUACAGAAUCCCUCUUGUUCAUUCAAAUGGUAGUGCUUUUUGUUUGUUUGUUUGUUUUUUCCUAAAAUAUUUCCAGCUCUGGCACCUUCUCAGUUUAGUCUGAUGGUUGUCACAGUGGUAUGACUUGUGGGACUUGAAGUUGCAGGAGUUCAAGUCCCUCAAGAGCUACUUCUGUGACAGAGUAUGCUUCACUGAGGAACAAUAUGCUGAGAAAAGCUAGAGAGUUACACAGCCUAGCUGGGAAAUACCUCAUGCUCUGGUAUUUCCCUUUAUUUUUGCCCUGGCUCCUUUGCCUCUUUAUUUUUAAUUAGUGGCACAUGCUGAAAUGAUAAUUUACAUUCUUUUCAGAAAUCAAAAGAAUUCCCACUGACAACAUUAUUAAGUUGGAAUUUGAGCCAAAUAUCUAACCUCCAUUAAAUGAGAACUUGACUGAACCUGUUUUCCCUUCAUUUUGGUAGGUUACUCUGGCUUUGAAUGGAUCUGGGAUGGAUAUACACCUGCACAGAGGGUCACUGCAAGGCCAAACAUCUGCCCCUGACACCAUUUACACAGGUUUUGCUUGCCCAAUACACAAGACAGAAUUCAACAGUCACAGAGGACACCUCUUAAACUGCUGGAAUAAAGAUCCGGGGUCCUGCCUGCAGUAACUGCUCCAGAACCACUUCAGGGUUGGCUCUUGCUGGGCCCCCCACUCUGUAAGUCUGGAAACUGGUCCUUCUCCUCAUCCACCCUCUCCCACUCCUCAUGCCAACCUGUAGGAUCCUGGAAAGCUCAGGUUCCCCUCUCUAAAAUUACUGCAGUGUCCAAUGUGAGCCCAGCAGCAGCAGAGCUGCAAAGGAUACUCCUAUUGUGGUACAUAUCCUUACUGGGACAGCUUUCCUCUGAACAGCCUUUAGGCUUUGAAGUCGCCCCAGCCCUUACCAGCAACCUGCAGAGAGCUUUGGGGACUGACCUCAAUUGCUUCCUGCACAGAGUUGGACUCCGCUCUCAAGGACAACUUUGGAGAGCUUACACUAAUUUCAGCAAAGGAUGCACUUCAGGAUCCUUAAUAAAGCUUUCCUGGCAAGUUGUUCUUCUUCUUUUUUUUCUUUUUUGUAAGGCAAUACUCUCUAGCUUUCCUGGGCCUGGACUGCCCAAUUACUUGCUGUACCAAGUUACGUGCUUGAGUUUCAAAAUAUAUACCAACCUCUGGUUUCUUAAGAAAGUGUGAAAAAGUCUGUUCUACAGUAUAGGAGCUCCAGAAUAUUUUGCUCUUAACUCUGUUGGUUCCUGAUCUCAUGGUCUUCAAUGAAGAAAUAAGUUAGCUGGCAUUUUGGGAGAAGAGCAGUUUUGCACAAAAGGUGCAUAAAGUCUCCCACCGGCUGAGGCUGACCUGGACUUUAUGUCACCACAGAUGUGCCUUGAGCCCACAACGUCGAAUAGGCUGUUUUGUACUGCGCUUUUUCAGCUUUUCAGCAACUGAGGAUGUUAAGGCUACCUACGGUAUAUGCAACACUAUUCCUUACUUAUCUAAGCGAGCUGGAAAAAAGCCUUCUUGGCUAGAUUGUUGCCUAGAACAACACUGCCUAAACAUUAAAGACAAACAAGAUUAGGAGACCGUAUGGGUUUAAGUAAAAAAGAACACACUUUAUUUAUCUACAAGGCAGUACAUUGUCGUAUAAAAAAAUUAAGUGCAGGUGAAGCUGCACCAAAUGCUAUUAAGGCAGCAAAUUCAAAGGCUGUUAUAAAAAAAAAAAAAAGAAAAGAAAAAAAAAGAGGACAAUUAAAAAAAUAAAAUAAAAUCAGUGUUUUGCCAUAUCGAUAAAGAUUUGGUAUGGCAGUAUGAGGAAGCAUAUAUUUCUAAGAACCUGAUUCAGUACAUAAGACCCAAGGUAGGGAACAAUUAGCUAGACAUGGAACAAAACAGACAACACGAACGAGACAGUGUUCUCCCAAACAUAUGAAGGUGCAAUACAUGCUGUUACGAACCAGUGUGAAACAAAACCACACAUUGAGACAAUUAAAACAAAAAAAAAAUCUCCCAGGAACAGUGUUCAAAAAUAUUGCUUGUAAAAAAAAAAAAAUGGGGAAAAAAUAGAAAUGAUGUAAAAAGAAAAUUAAAA